AGGUACACGCAGCCGGCCGGCUUUGGCCGGGGUAGGAAUGGCCUGGAUAACUGGGGCAUCGCGGCGCUUCUCGGACUCCUGCAGCUGCGUUUCAAACCAGAGCCGACCCUUGGUAGCUCAUCAAUUCAAGUGUAUGAAAAGUUUAACGUAACUUUUCAAUGGAAAAAGAUCACCAUCUUUGACAAGCUAUACCUACUAAAAGAUGUGAAGUAGACACCUAUAUUCCAUGACUCAACUGUAAAGAGAACAGAAAGCUCCAGUCAUAGGAGAAAAAAAUAAAAUAAAACUGCUAUUAAAAUUGAAGGCCAAA
Long non-coding RNA from Macaca mulatta (Rhesus monkey), 310 nucleotides. RefSeq lists it as uncharacterized. Lineage: Eukaryota; Metazoa; Chordata; Mammalia; Primates; Cercopithecidae. The record is from RefSeq and is a predicted model, not a curated record.